Molecule: ribosomal RNA, 253 nt
Filed under: uncultured bacterium
Lineage: Bacteria
Description: partial 16S ribosomal RNA
Rfam family: Bacterial small subunit ribosomal RNA
Source: RNAcentral
UACGGGGGGGGCAAGCGUUGUUCGGAAUUACUGGGCGUAAAGGGCUCGUAGGCGGCCAACUAAGUCGGAUGUGAAAUCCCCAAGCUUAACUUGGGAACUGCAUCCGAUACUGGAUGGCUUGAAUCCGGGAGAGGGAUGCAGAAUUCCAGGUGUAGCGGUGAAAUGCGUAGAUAUCGUAAGGAAGACCAGUGGCGAAGGCGGGUCUCUGGACAGUUCCUGACGCUGAGGCACGGAGGUCAGGGGAGCAAACAGG